Molecule: ribosomal RNA, 462 nt
Filed under: uncultured bacterium
Lineage: Bacteria
Description: partial 16S ribosomal RNA
Rfam family: Bacterial small subunit ribosomal RNA
Source: RNAcentral
GAUGAACGCUGACAGAAUGCUUAACACAUGCAAGUCGAUGGGGAAGUGGUGCUUGCACCAUGGCAACCAUGGCGGACGGGUGAGUAACGCGUAAGGGACUUACCUGCAGGACUGGGAUAACAGGGGGAAACUCCUGACAAGACCGGAUAAUGUCAUGGAGCUGCAUGGCUUUAUGAUGAAAGGAGACGCCUGCGGAGAGCCUUGCGUCCUAUUAGCUAGUUGGUGAGGUAAUGGCUCACCAAGGCGAAGAUAGGUAGCCGGCCUGAGAGGGUGGACGGCCACAAGGGGACUGAGAUACGGCCCUUACUCCUACGGGAGGCAGCAGUGGGGAAUAUUGGACAAUGGGGGCAACCCUGAUCCAGCAAUGCGGUGUGCACGAAGAAGGUUUUCGGAUUGUAAAGUGCUUUCAGCAGGGAAGAAGUAAGUGACGGUACCUGCAGAAGAAGCGACGGCUAAAUACGU